CCUACGGGAGGCAGCAGUGAGGAAUAUUGGUCAAUGGGCUUACGCCUGAACCAGCCAAGUCGCGUGAGGGAAGACUGCCCUAUGGGUUGUAAACCUCUUUUGUCAGGGAGCAACGCCGGCUACGUGUAGCCGGACUGGGAGUACCUGAAGAAAAAGCAGCGGCUAACUCCGUGGCAGCAGCCGCGGUAAUACGGGGGAUGCGAGGGUGAUCCGGAUUUAUUGGGUUUAAAGGGGACGUAGGCGGAAUGCCAAGUCAGCGGUAAAAUCGCGGGGGUCAACCUCGCUCCGCCGUUGAAACUGGCGUUCUUGAGUGGGCGAGAAGUAUGCGGAAUGCGGGGUGUAGCGGUGAAAUGUAUAGAGAUCACGCAGA
RNAcentral lists this ribosomal RNA (370 nucleotides) under uncultured bacterium. RNAcentral describes it as "partial 16S ribosomal RNA". It matches the Rfam family "Bacterial small subunit ribosomal RNA", at positions 338 to 705 of the family's 1533-position model. The record is from RNAcentral.